UACCAGCUCUCCGAGUGGUAGGGAUGUUUAUUGGGCUUAAAGCGUCCGUAGCCGGCUUAGCAAGUCUCCUGUUAAAUUCAGCGACCUAAUCGUUGAGCCGCGGGAGAUACUACUAGGCUAGGAGGCGGGAGAGGUCAACGGUACUUCCGGGGUAGGGGUGAAAUCCUAUAAUCCCGGGAGGACCACCAGUGGCGAAGGCUGUUGACUAGAACGCGCUCGACGGUGAGGGACGAAAGCUGGGGGAGCGAACCGGAUUAGAUACCCGGGUAGUCCCAGCUGUAAACGAUGCGAGCUAGGUGUUGAGGUGGCUACGUGCCACUUCAGUGCCGCAGGGAAGCCAUUAAGCUCGCCGCCUGGGGAGUACGGCCGCAAGGCUGAAACUUAAAGGAAUUGGCGGGGGAGCACCACAAGGCGUGAAGCUUGCGGUUC
This 429-nucleotide ribosomal RNA is filed under the name uncultured archaeon. RNAcentral's name for it is "bacterial SSU rRNA". It matches the Rfam family "Archaeal small subunit ribosomal RNA", at positions 474 to 903 of the family's 1478-position model. The record is from RNAcentral.